This 455-nucleotide ribosomal RNA is filed under the name Eubranchus farrani. RNAcentral describes it as "partial 16S ribosomal RNA". It matches the Rfam family "Bacterial large subunit ribosomal RNA", at positions 1810 to 2607 of the family's 2925-position model. Lineage: Eukaryota; Metazoa; Mollusca; Gastropoda; Nudibranchia; Eubranchidae. The record is from RNAcentral.
AAAACAUAGCCAGAGGAAGAUAUUUUUGGUUUAACCUGCCCAAUGUGUUAUUGUAUGAAUGGCCGCGGUACCCUGACCGUGCUAAGGUAGCGUAAUCAAUUGGCUUUUGAAUGGAGUCAGGUAUGAAUGGGAUAACCGGGCUUAGCUGUCUCAAAGACAUUUAUUUGAAUUUACUGUUCAAGUGAAAAAGCUUGAUUUAAGAAAAGGGACGAGAAGACCCUUAGAAUUUUGUUUAAAGGGGAUUAUUUCUUCUAUGAUUUUGUUGGGGCGACAGAGAAAUAAUUAAAACUUUCUUUAAAUUAAUCAGUCGGAAUUUUCAGAUUAGGAUAAAUUACCUGAGGGAUAACAGCAUAAUUUUAUAAAUAAGUUUGUGACCUCGAUGUUGGACUAGGGAGCUAAUGGGUUAGCUGCUCAUUGUGCGGAUUCUGUUCGAAUUUUAACUCCUACGUGAUCUG